This 468-nucleotide ribosomal RNA is filed under the name uncultured bacterium. RNAcentral describes it as "partial 16S ribosomal RNA". It matches the Rfam family "Bacterial small subunit ribosomal RNA", at positions 28 to 507 of the family's 1533-position model. The record is from RNAcentral.
GACGAACGCUGGCGGCGUGCUUAACACAUGCAAGUCGAACGGAAAGGCCCUGCUUUUGUGGGGUGCUCGAGUGGCGAACGGGUGAGUAACACGUGAGUAACCUGCCCUUGACUUUGGGAUAACUUCAGGAAACUGGGGCUAAUACCGGAUAGGAGCUCCUGCUGCAUGGUGGGGGUUGGAAAGUUUCGGCGGUUGGGGAUGGACUCGCGGCUUAUCAGCUUGUUGGUGGGGUAGUGGCUUACCAAGGCUUUGACGGGUAGCCGGCCUGAGAGGGUGACCGGCCACAUUGGGACUGAGAUACGGACCAGACUCGUACGGGAGGCAGCAGUGGGGAAUAUUGCACAAUGGGCGGAAGCCUGAUGCAGCAACGCCGCGUGCGGGAUGACGGCCUUCGGGCUGUAAACAGCUUUCGCCUGUGACGAAGAGUGAGUGACGGUAAUGGGUAAAGAAGCACCGGCUAACUACGUG